UCACCAGAGUAACAAUUGGAGGGCAAGUCUGGUGCCAGCAGCCGCGGUAAUUCCAGCUCCAAUAGCGUAUAUUAAACUUGUUGCAGUUAAAAAGCUCGUAGUUGAAUUUUUGCGUGGUGUUAAUAUUGACUGAUGUCGAGAUUGCACUUCGCUUUUGGGAUUUAUCCCUUUUUACUUUGAGAAAAUUAGAGUGUUUCAAGCAGACUUUUGUCUUGAAUACUUCAGCAUGGAAUAAUAGAGUAGGACUUUGGUUCUAUUUUGUUGGUUUGUGAACCUUAGUAAUGGUUAAUAGGAACGGUUGGGGGCAUUCGUAUUUAACUGUCAGAGGUGAAAUUCUUAGAUUUGUUAAAGACGAACUACUGCGAAAGCAUUUGCCAAGGACGUUUUCAUUAAUCAAGAACGAAAGUUAGGGGAUCGAAGACGAUCAGAUACCGUCGUAGUCCUAACCAUAAACUAUGCCGACUAGGGAUUGGAGGUCGUCAUUUUUCCGACUCCUUCAGCACCUUGAGAGAAUCAA
This 517-nucleotide ribosomal RNA is filed under the name Babesia capreoli. RNAcentral's name for it is "SSU rRNA". It matches the Rfam family "Eukaryotic small subunit ribosomal RNA", at positions 533 to 1101 of the family's 1831-position model. Lineage: Eukaryota; Apicomplexa; Aconoidasida; Piroplasmida; Babesiidae. The record is from RNAcentral.